AGUGAACGCUGGCGGCAGGCCUAACACAUGCAAGUCGAACGGCAGCACAGUGGAGCUUGCUCCAUGGGUGGCGAGUGGCGGACGGGUGAGGAAUACAUCGGAAUCUGCCCAGUCGUGGGGGAUAACAUAGGGAAACUUAUGCUAAUACCGCAUACGACCUACGGGUGAAAGCGGGGGAUCGCAAGACCUCGCGCGAUUGGAUGAGCCGAUGUCCGAUUAGCUAGUUGGCGGGGUAAUGGCCCACCAAGGCGACGAUCGGUAGCUGGUCUGAGAGGAUGAUCAGCCACACUGGAACUGAGACACGGUCCAGACUCCUACGGGAGGCAGCAGUGGGGAAUAUUGGACAAUGGGCGCAAGCCUGAUCCAGCCAUGCCGCGUGGGUGAAGAAGGCCUUCGGGUUGUAAAGCCCUUUUGUCCGGAAAGAAACGCCUCGGAUUAAUACUCUGGGGUAAUGACGGUACCGGAAGAAUAAGCACCGGCUAACUUCGUGCCAGCCGCCGCAGUAA
Molecule: ribosomal RNA, 506 nt
Filed under: uncultured bacterium
Lineage: Bacteria
Description: partial 16S ribosomal RNA
Rfam family: Bacterial small subunit ribosomal RNA
Source: RNAcentral